AUUUCUGAUAAUUUUCAGAUUGGUUAAUUCAAAAAAGUUUUAAAUAAACAGCAGAGUGCCAAGAAAAGUUUCUGUUUACAUAUAAUUAGAAAAAUGAUGUUUAAAGGUAUUGAGCAGAAGAAAAAACUAUGCAAAAAUCUAAAUAAUAGGAGUGUGCAAACACUAAUCUAUUUAGCAACAAAAUCUGAAAUAUUAAGAAACCAAUUGAACAUUCCCUAUCUAAUUGAACAUUCCUGAGAAACCAACUAGAGUACUGUGGUACUGUUGAUGAUACUUGUAGUAAAUUUCACAAAAUUUGGUAAAUAUUAGGAACCCAACUGCAAGCAGAAAAAGUAGCACAUAUAAAAAGAAAGAGACGAGCCACAAAGAAAUGGAAAUGAACCUUCUCCCCAUCAGCAAGUUUUUCAAAAAAAUUGGUAAGGGGUUUCACAUA
Molecule: unclassified non-coding RNA, 433 nt
Filed under: Hevea brasiliensis (rubber tree)
Lineage: Eukaryota; Viridiplantae; Streptophyta; Magnoliopsida; Malpighiales; Euphorbiaceae
Source: RNAcentral